This 553-nucleotide long non-coding RNA is filed under the name Homo sapiens (human). RNAcentral's name for it is "HSALNT0389907". The record is from RNAcentral. Lineage: Eukaryota; Metazoa; Chordata; Mammalia; Primates; Hominidae.
CCCCAAAGUGUUGCUUGCGAUUACAGGCUUGAGCCACCGCUCACCCUGGCUUUUUUUUUUUUUUUUUCCAGACAAACUCUCGCUCUGUCGCCCAGGCUGGAGUGCAGUGGCGCGAUCUCGGCUCACUGCAGCCUCUACCUCCCGGGUUCCAGCGAUUCUCCUGCCUCAGCCUCCUGGGUAGCUGGGAUUACAGGCGCAGGCCACCACGCCCGGCUAAUUUUUGUAUUUUUAGGGGGUUUCGCCAUGUCGGCCAGGCUGGUCUCGAGCUCCUGACCUCAGGCGAUCCGCCCGCCUCGGCCUCCCAAAGCGCUGGGAUUACAGGCGUAAGCCACCGCGCCGGGCUCUUUCAUUCUGUCUUUAUUUUCUGAGAUAGAGUCUCGCUCGGACGCUCAGGUUGGACUGCAACGGCGUGAUCUCGGCUCGCUGAAACUUCCGCCUCCCGGGUUCAAGCGAUUCUCCUGUCUCAGCCUCCCGAGUAGCUGGGAUUAUUGACGGGCAGCACCACGCCCGGCUACUUUUUGUGGUUUUUGUAUCUUCUGUCUUCUGCUCUUUA